CCUACGGGAGGCAGCAGUGAGGAAUAUUGGUCAAUGGGCGAGAGCCUGAACCAGCCAAGUCGCGUGAGGGAGUACUGCCCUAUGGGUUGUAAACCUCUUUUGUCGGGGAGCAAAAGCCGGACGUGUCCGGCUGUGAGAGUACCCGCAGAAAAAGCAUCGGCUAACUCCGUGCCAGCAGCCGCGGUACUACGGAGGAUGCGAGCGUUAUCCGGAUUUAUUGGGGUUAAAGGGUGCGCAGGCGGAUUUUUAAGUCAGUGGUCAAAUCGUGGGGCUCAACCCCAUCCAGCCGUUGAAACUGGGGAUCUAGAGUGUGCGAGAGGUAUGCGGAAUGAGUGGUGUAGCGGUGAAAUGCAUAGAUAUCACGCAGAACCCCGAUUGCGAAGGCAGCAUACCGGUGCACAACUGACGCUCAGGCACGAAAGCGUGGGUAUCGAACAGGAUUAGAUACCCCAGUAGUC
Molecule: ribosomal RNA, 458 nt
Filed under: uncultured bacterium
Lineage: Bacteria
Description: partial 16S ribosomal RNA
Rfam family: Bacterial small subunit ribosomal RNA
Source: RNAcentral